AUGCGAAAGUUCCUUCUGGUACUCUGAUUACUAAUUAGAAACACCACAAUAAAAAGGGGAAUUCACCAACAUAAAAUUGACACUGCUAAAAUAACUUUAAUCUAGUCUCUUCUACAAAACAAUCAACCAAGAUGAGAGCUAUUAUAAGCGCCAUCGUGGUAGUUGCUACUGUUUGUUAUUUCUUUGUAGCGGCAAAUGCCAACCCUCUCUUCCUUGACAACAUCAUCUGUGAGUGUUUUGUCGCCCCUUGUCCGUGUAGCUCUGGCUGAACACAUUAAACAAGAUAUUAUCAAGAGCCCCGAUUAGCUGUUCUUUAUUUUCUAAGAGUUGAUGUCCCCAUUACAUGACGCUGUCAGUUAUAUUGUGACAAUGUAGGACACAAUCUUCAAUCAAUUAAUGUCACUUUUUGACAUUGUUGUUAUUGCACUCAAAUCAAAUAAAGUUCGGACUAUGUGGUCAUUUUGAAAACUA
This is a long non-coding RNA of Physella acuta, 471 nucleotides long. RefSeq lists it as uncharacterized. Lineage: Eukaryota; Metazoa; Mollusca; Gastropoda; Physidae. The record is from RefSeq and is a predicted model, not a curated record.